RNAcentral lists this ribosomal RNA (253 nucleotides) under uncultured bacterium. Its description in RNAcentral is "partial 16S ribosomal RNA". It matches the Rfam family "Bacterial small subunit ribosomal RNA", at positions 524 to 776 of the family's 1533-position model. The record is from RNAcentral.
UACGGAGGGUGCAAGCGUUGUUCGGAAUCACUGGGCGUAAAGCGCGUGUAGGCGGUCUGCUAAGUCUGAUGUGAAAGCCCGGGGCUCACCCCCGGAAGUGCAUUGGAAACUGGCAGACUGGAGUCCCGGAGAGGAGGGUGGAAUUCCUGGUGUAGCGGUGAAAUGCGUAGAUAUCAGGAGCAACACCCGUGGCGAAGGCGGCCCUCUGGACGGUGACUGCCGCUGAGAUGCGAAAGCGUGGGGAGCAAACAGG